UUAUCUCUGUAGAGUCUGCAUAUCAAUAAGCGGAGGAAAAGAAACUAACUAGGAUUCCCUCAGUAACGGCGAGUGAAGCGGGAAGAGCUCAAAUUUGAAAUCUUCAAGGUUUUACCUUGACGAAUUGUAGCUUAAAGAAGUGUUUUCUGUUGGUGUUUUGGUAAAAGUUCUUUGGAAUAGGACAUCAUAGAGGGUGAGAAUCCCGUAUUUGACCAUUAUUUUCAGCUGUGUGAUACACUUUCAAAGAGUCGGAUUGUUUGGGAAUGCAGUCCAAAAUGGGUGGUAAAUUUCAUCUAAAGCUAAAUAUUGGCGAGAGACCGAUAGCGAACAAGUACCGUGAGGGAAAGAUGAAAAGAACUUUGAAAAGAGAGUUAAACAGUACGUGAAAUUGUCAAAAGGGAAGCGUUUGACACCAGUGUUGUUUCUACGAAAAUCAAUUUAUGAUGGCUUGAUGCUAAGCUUUAAGACUUUAUCCGCUUGUUGUUUAGUUUUCUUGUCUUUGUGAAUGCACUUUUCGUGGAACAAGUCAACAUCAAUUUCUUUUGCUGUAAAAGGGUAAGAGGAAGGUGGCUUCGGCUUCGGUUGAAGUGUUUAUAGCCUUUUAUCUCUGCAGUCGGAGAGAUUGAGGUCUGCAGCGUAGACUCUUCGGGGUUAGAUACGUCGGUGUUAAGCUAUAGCUUUUCAUAGACAACUUGUUGACUAUGUUUAGUCAUGUGGCUUACCCGCUGGCGCUAUUUUACCUACGCUUAGGAUGUUGAGUCAUCACACAUCUCU
Molecule: ribosomal RNA, 774 nt
Filed under: uncultured Neocallimastigales
Lineage: Eukaryota; Fungi; Neocallimastigomycota; Neocallimastigomycetes; Neocallimastigales
Description: partial large subunit ribosomal RNA
Rfam family: Eukaryotic large subunit ribosomal RNA
Source: RNAcentral